This 7511-nucleotide long non-coding RNA is filed under the name Malus domestica (apple). Its description in RNAcentral is "long non-coding RNA (MDOM_LNC003372)". Lineage: Eukaryota; Viridiplantae; Streptophyta; Magnoliopsida; Rosales; Rosaceae. The record is from RNAcentral.
AUAUGCAUCAUACGACAGUUCAUAAUAUUCAUAACAUUCUAUGCAUGGCAAUCAAAUCAUAUUUCAUUUCAUUUCAAUAUACUUUUCAUUUAAUUUUGAUUUCUGGGGAAAUCGAGUAUAUAGGUAUAUAUAUAAAAACAAAUGCCCACUCACUGGUAUGUCGCCGGGUCGUAACCCCCUUGACGCCCCUGGAUGUGCUCGUCCUCGUUAUAAGUCCCACCUAGAAGUGAAAUAACUAAAAAACAUCAUUUAACGCACAAUUAACGCACCUAAACCAAACUAGGUAAUUAAUUCUUCAUACGAUGCUCAAAUUGGGUAUAUGAAUAUACCACGGUGACCUACACAAACUCAGGAUCAUCCCCAUAUUUUUAAAAUAAUUUUUGGAGGUCUCACGCGCCCCCACGCGCCUGACGUGGCACGGACCUACGCGCCCCACACGCGCGGCCACGUGCGUUGCAUGCUAACGGCACAGUAACGGCAGUUAGGGAAUAUUCCGUCAAAUCCUAGUAUAUUCCGUUAAAACCUAAACCGUUCCGUUAACGGGCGUCAGGAAUAUUCUGUUAGAACUAACGGAAUAUUCCUGCUUCUUCUCCGAUGGACUCUCGCCGGACUCCGGUCACAGGAAAACUGGGAAAAAUUUUCUAUUUAACUAUUCUCACUCGUUUUUCGUCCAUUUUCUUCGAAUUUUAUACCAAAUUGAAGCAUUUAACAUGUACAAUCACGAUGGAAGGGUUUUAAACACUAAAAAUCACGGGAUCAUACCUUCCAAAAAUUCCAAAAAUCGGCCAAACGUCGAACUCAACGAUCCCGACGUCCAAAACUUCCAAACGUUACACUCCGAGCAUCCUUGGAACUUCCUAAGACUCUCUGUGAUCUUGUUUUAACCUAAAACGUAACCAUUUAGAAGAUCAUGAACAAUGUCAUUUCACGGGGCUUUAAAAACCAGGGUUUUUCGAAGUGAAACUCACCUGAAUUUGGUAUCCCCGUGUUCGUGAAGUCCUCAGGAUCACGAUGGUAGUCUUAAAUUGGACGUUCGUGGAGGUUUGAUUGAGGUUGUGUGUGAGUUCGUAUGUUCGAGAGGAAGAGAGAGAGAGUGAAAGUCUGAAAUGGAAGAAGAAGAGAGAGAAGGAAAGGUUACGGAUUUUAGGGAAGGUUUUGAGGGUAUGAGGAUCCCACCUUAACCCAUACAAAUGUAAAUCUAAACCCUAGUUUAAGUCCCUAACAUAAAUUAAUAUUCUAAAUAACAAUAGUUUAGGAUCUUUAGAUAAAACAAAUGUCGUACAUUUACACACCUUAAUCCCCUUUAGGGAUAUUUUAGUACUUUCACGUCCUCGGAAUUAAAAUUCCGGGACGGGCUGUGACAAUCUCCCCUCCUUAUAGAAUUUCGUCCCCGAAAUUCCAGUCACCAACCAGCAUCAAAACUCAUAAAAUAGCCUCGGAUACAUAUCUCUCAUCCGUUCUUCUGUUUCCCAUGUAGCUUCUUCCGCUGCAUGGUUUCUCCACAAUACUUUUACCAAGCUCACUGUCUUAUUCCUCAGAGUCUUAUCUUUCCAAUCCAGUAUAGUCACUGGUUCCUCGUCGUACGUCAAAUCCGGAUUAAUUUCCAAAGGUUGAGGAGGAAUCACAUGUGAAGGAUCUGAAACAUAAUGCCGAAGCAUCGAGACAUGGAAACACAUUAUGUACCUUAGACAACUCUGGAGGUAGCUCCAACCUGUAAGCAACUUCACCAAUCCUCUCAGUGAUCUCAUAAGGUCCAAUGUACCUGGGACUUAGCUUUCCUUUCUUUCCAAAUCGAACCACACCUCUCCAAGGUGAUAAUUUCAAAAAUACAUAGUUGCCCACAUUAUACAUUCUAUCCGUGGUAUGUCGAUCCGCUAGGCUCUUUUGUCUAUCCUGGGCCGUUUUCAGGUUAGACUUAAUCACCUGAAUAUUCUGAGUAGUCUCAUCCACAAUCUCUGGGCCCUCAAGUAUUCUUUCACCGACCUCUGACCAACAUAAUGGAGUACGGCAAGCUUUUCCAUAAAGCGCUUCAAAUGGAGACAUUCCAAUACUCGAAUGAAAACUAUUAUUGUAGGCAAACUCCAUCAAAUCCAAGCGAUCAUGCCAAGAAUCACCAAAUUGCAUCACAGAGGAUCUCAACAUAUCCUCGAGUGUCUGAAUAGUUCUCUCUGACUGACCAUCUGUCUGUGGAUGAUAAGCUGUACUGUAAAGCAGUCUAGUGCCCAAAGCUUCUUGAAAAGCUGUCCAAAACUUAGAAGUAAACCUCGGAUCUCGAUCAGAUAUGAUAUUCACUGGGACACCAUGAUACUUUACGACCUUCGAAAUGAAUAACUUAGCCAGCUUAUUUAAAGGAUACUUCUCCCUUACUGGAAUAAAAUGUGCUGAUUUGGUAAGUCGAUCUACAACCACCCAAAUGCCAUCAAAACCAUUUUGUGUACGUGGUAGCUUAUACAUAAAAUCCAUCGUUAUAUUCUCCCAUUUCCACUGGGGAACGGGAAGUGGUUACAAUCUUCCAAACGGCUUCUUUCUUUCAGCCUUAACCUGCUGGCAAACAAUACACCUACUUACAUACUCUGCAAUUUCCCUCUUCAUACCCGGCCAAUAAUAGAAUGGUCGAAUGGUAUGAUACAUUUUAGUUCCUCCUGGGUGCAUAGCAUAAGCCGAACAAUGUGCUUCAUCCAAGAUUUCUUUCUUCAGUUCCUCAUUAUUAGGCACAUAUAUCCUGUUCUCUUGCAUAAGCAUACCAUCUGAUCCUCGGAUCUUGAGAUCUUUCUUCUUCCCUUCCUUUCUUAAAUUGACCAACUCUUGAAUUUCUUCAUCCAACGAUUGAGCUGUAAGCACCCGAUCAAUUAAAAUUGGCUUGACUUGAAAAUUGGCAAGAAAAGCUUCACUAUGCUCUUCCAAUUCUAACUCUACUCCAGUAGAUCUCAACUCUGCCAGAAGAGGAACACGACUGGCAUACAAAGCAUUAAGUCGCCCUUGAGGUUUCCUACUCAGAGCAUCAGCUACCACAUUUGCACGACCCGGAUGGUACUCAAUUGUGCAAUCAUAAUCACUUAACAAUUCCAACCAUCUUCUCUGACGAAGAUUAAGAUCAUGCUGAGUGAAAAGGUACUGAAGGCUUUUAUGAUCGGUAAAGAUCUUACAUUUCUCGCCAUAGAGAUAAUGUCUCCAAAUCUUCAAAGCAAACACAAUAGCUGCCAACUCAAGAUCGUGAGUCGGAUAGUUUCUUUCAUGAGUCUUCAACUGCCUAGAAGCAUAGGCAAUCACUCUACUAUGCUGCAUCAAAACACAACCCAAACCAUUCAAAGAAGCAUCACUGUAGAUCUCGAAGUUACCAUUAUCAUCAGGAAGUACUAACACCGGUGCAUGAGUAAGGCAAUGUUUCAAUUGCUGGAAACUUUGCUCACAACUAUCAUCCCAUUCAAACUUAACAUCCUUCCUGGUUAACUUCGUUAAUGGCAAGGCAAUCAUAGAAAAGUCUUGAACAAACCGUCUAUAAUAACCUGCCAAGCCAAGAAAACUCCGCACCUCAGUGACCGUUCGAGGUUGUUCCCAACUUUCCACUGCUGCUAUCUUUUGAGGAUCCACUUGAAUUCCCUGAGCUGAUACCACAUGUCCCAGAAAUGCCACUUGAUUUAGCCAAAACUGACAUUUACUAAACUUGGCAUAUAAUCGGUGUUCCCUCAAUUUCCUUAACACCAAGUUAAGAUGUCGAAUAUGGUCUGAUUUGGACUUAGAAUAUACCAGGAUAUCAUCAAUAAAAACAAUAACAAACCUGUCAAGAUAUUCCUGGAAUACUUCAUUCAUCAAUCUCAUGAAAGCUGCAGGAGCAUUAGUCAAUCCAAAUGGCAUCACCAAAAACUCAUAAUGCCCAUAACGAAUCCUGAAAGCCGUUUUAUGAACAUCCUCCUCUUUAAUCUUUAAUUGAUAAUACCCAGAUCUCAAAUCGAUCUUAGAAAACACACAGGCACCUUUGAGCUGAUCAAACAAAUCAUCUAUACGAGGCAAGGGAUAACGGUUUUUAAUCGUUACCCGAUUCAAUUGCCUGUAAUCAAUACACAAUCUCAAAGUUCCAUCCUUCUUUCUCACAAACAACACCGGAGCUCCCCAAGGUGAAGAACUAGGCUGAAUGAAACCUUUAUCAAUUAAUUCUUGCAAUUGAAAUUUCAACUCUCUUAAUUCCGCUGGUGCCAUUCUAUAAGGAGUCAAUGAUAUAGGGUUUGUACCUGGAAGCAAUUCAAUUGAAAACUCCACAUCUCUAUCUGGGGGCAAUCCAGGCAAAUCAUCUGGAAAUACAUCAGGAUAGUGUCUGACUACUCCGACUUCCUCCACACUACUGGAAGCAACAUCAUUCAAAACCACAUGUGCCAAGUAUCCCUGACAACCCUUGGAUAACAAUUUCUUCGCCCUUAUGGCAGAAAUAACACCAUUCAUCACCCCACUUCUUUCACCCACAAAUGUAACCUCGGGUAGUCCAGGACGAAGAAAAGUAACUGAUUUCCCGUAACAAUCUAUAUGGGCGGGAUUAUAAUGCAACCAAUCCGCCCCUAAAAUCACAUCAAAAUCCACGAUGUCUAACGGGAUAAGAUUAGCAGGCAUAAUGACAUUAUCUACCAUCACUGGACAUCCAGAGUAAAAACUAUCAACAUAACACUUAUCCCCUCUAGGCAUAGCAAACUCUAAAUCAAACCCUAGAGGUGAAGGAUGAGGUUGUGUCAUUUGAGCAAAUGUAUGAGAAAUCACAGAGUGUGUAGCACCACAAUCAAUCAAAACUCUAGCAAAAUGACCAAGAACAUUCAACGUACCCAUAAUCAAGUCUGGAUGGUUCUGAGCAUCUUGCAGCGAUAUGUGGUUAACACGUCCCUGAGCUGGCUGUCGUCCUCCACGACCUCUGCCACUCUGAUUACCUCGUCCCUGAUGAAUACGUCCUUGACCUGUCUGGGCAGGCGGCCUAGACGGCCCUACACUACUAGCAGCAACUCCGCUCUGUUGGGGCUGACCCCCCUGAUACCACUGAGAUCCGCUAGCUGGCAUAGACGGAUAUGAAGUAUAACCUCCCUGAUCCUGAGAAUAGUGAUACGGUCCCGGAGCAUAAGGAGCAGCAUCACCCUGAUAGUGAUAAGCACCACCACGACCCACCUGGCCAUAACUGCCUGAAUUAAAGUUCUGUUGAGUCGGUGCUGGUGUUGGCAUAACAGGCUGCUGGGGCCUCUGCUGAUUCUGGGGACAAUACAUAGCUCUAUGUCCUGUCUGACCACAUGUAAAGCAUGCACCACUGAGUCUCCUACAUUCCCCAUGAUGUCGGAAAUUACAACGACGACAUAACGGAGGACCCGAACUACCAGUACCACCAAAGCCUCUCUGACCAGAAAAUCUAGGUCCAUUACCAAACCUACCACCUCCUCUCCUCGGACCUGUGGCACUAAAUCCACCACUGGAAGAACUCGAACUCAUUCCACUUUUCUUGAAAUUCUGCGUCUGACGAGGUCCUGGAAUGGAAAUACCCUUACCUUUAUCAUUUUUCUUCUGACCAUCACCCUUAUCCUCGUCAUCCUCACUGUCCGGAAGAUUAUCAGAGUCUUCCAUCCGGACCAGAAUCUCAAAAUACUCAUGAUAAUCGGCACAGGGAAGUGCAUUGGCAAACGUUCUGUACUUCUUCUUAGAUCCUAACUUGAAACGACGAAGCAUUUCUGCUUGAUUACCCGCUAAAUCAGAAUCAUAACGGGAUAAAUCAGUAAACUUCCUGUAGUACUCAUGUGCAGACAUAUUUCUCUGCUUCAGCCUGGUGAAUUCCUGUUUCUUGCGAUCUAUAUAUUCCGGAGGAACAAAUCUCUUCAUAAAAUUUUCCUUAAAUACCUCCCAUUCGGCUGCCCUUUCAGGUGCCAUGUGCCUCGACUGAUUUAUCCACCACGCCGCUGGCUCACGGCCCAAAAACCAGGUGGUGGUCUCCACCCAUCUAUUAGCUGGCAGGUUUCCCCUGACUUUGCAUCACUUGAAAGGUCUGCUCAAUCCGAUCCAACCACUUUUCUGCCCCCUCAUAACCUUCAUUUCCCUCAAAGGUUUCCAAUUUCAGAUUAUACAUCGUUUAUACAGGUGUUCUCUGAGGAGGACGGAUACUAGCCUGAAAAGCCUGAGCCAGUGCUUCCCCUAACUGGGCUAUAUCGGGGAAAUUAGGCUCAGCAGCCUGGCGAGGAUCUCUACGAGGCGGCAUAAUUCUGACAGAAAACAUCAAAAAAAUCAAUAGAAGAACUCAUUAGUUAUACAGGACUGCAACCUAUGCUCUGAUACCAAACUGACACACCCUAACCCGAAGACUAGGACGUGCUGGCCGUCACGUGAGCGUGACGUAACCAUAAACGCAAGCGGAAACGAUUAAAUAAUAUACGAGUCAACGAAAACCACUAAAUGCAGUUAUUUACAACCUAGCAUUCUAUGUGCAUAAGAGUGUACUAAACACACAUAAACAGAGCAUAAGCGUCUAGGUGCAGUCAAGUAGAACCGUAACUAAUUUACAACACCCUCGGGUGAAAUCCUACAUUUAUUUAGUCUGUCAGAAUGCCGAAGUAGUCCUCGUAGGCCACCAACGCCUCAACUAUCAACUAGAACCUGGAGGGGCGAAAAACAGAAAACGUGAGUGGGCGAAAAUAAAGCUUUUCCAAAUCAUUUCAUAAAUCCACAAUUAUAACCCCUUUUUGGAAAACCUGUAUACUUUCCCAGAAAAAUAGUAUAUAGCAUAUAUAUAUCUCAACCAAUCUCGAUCAUCAAUCUUAUAACAGAUUCAAUAAAGAAUGUACCAUGCCAAAUUCAACAGUUUAGUAUGAAUGCAUUGACAUAAUAUAAAUCAGGUAAAAGAUAGUAAUCAAUCGGAGGCCCUCUAAUGGCCCUGAACGAUUGAACCUAGAGCUCAAAAUCUAUCACUCUCACUCUGCCGGAGUCACCUCUGUGACCUGUCCGGCCUUCUGCACAUAAGUCGGAACCACCUAAUGUAGUCUGUACGACUUAAUGGUUAAUAUUACGCUCUAGUGCUUUUCUCAUCAAUCAUCUGUAUACAUAAUCUAAGGUCACCCACCAGUCGAAAUCUCACUAACACUCUACGACUGGCCCGUCGCACCCACUCCGCGUGGACUGUGCGACCAGCAUCUACUUGGAUCCAAGGCGAGCGUGCGAUGUGGUGAAUACUAUAAGCACUAAACCAUGGUGCAGGAUAUGAGCUCAAUAUAUAUCAUCAUCAUGACAGUAAUUAAAUACUCACCUGAUACUCACCUGUGCGUCCACAGCACCAUUUUACAUAUAUGCAUCAUACGACAGUUCAUAAUAUUCAUAACAUUCUAUGCAUGGCAAUCAAAUCAUAUUUCAUUUCAUUUCAAUAUACUUUUCAUUUAAUUUUGAUUUCUGGGGAAAUCGAGUAUAUAGGUAUAUAUAUAAAAACAAAUGCCCACUCACUGGUAUGUCGCCGGGUCGUAACCCCCUUGACGCCCCUGGAUGUGCUCUUCCUCGUUAUAAGUCCC